RNAcentral lists this transfer RNA (73 nucleotides) under Agrilus planipennis (emerald ash borer). It matches the Rfam family "tRNA". Rfam says of the family: Transfer RNA (tRNA) molecules are approximately 80 nucleotides in length. Their secondary structure includes four short double-helical elements and three loops (D, anti-codon, and T loops). Further hydrogen bonds mediate the characteristic L-shaped molecular structure. tRNAs have two regions of fundamental functional importance: the anti-codon, which is responsible for specific mRNA codon recognition, and the 3' end, to which the tRNAs corresponding amino acid is attached (by aminoacyl-tRNA synthetases). tRNAs cope with the degeneracy of the genetic code in two manners: having more than one tRNA (with a specific anti-codon) for a particular amino acid; and 'wobble' base-pairing, i.e. permitting non-standard base-pairing at the 3rd anti-codon position. Lineage: Eukaryota; Metazoa; Arthropoda; Insecta; Coleoptera; Buprestidae. The record is from Rfam by way of RNAcentral.
GCUUCCUGAGCUUAGUGGUCAGAGCACUGGAGCGUAAAGCCAAAGGUCCCGGGUUCGAUUCCCGGCGGGGGUG